UUUCUUGGUUUUCAUUUCAUGCCCAGUGCUGGAGCCCUUCUCCUGGAUACCACUGAGGAGAGCCUGGCUUUGUCUUUGGUAUUCCUGACACCAGGUUCUCCAAGCUCUUCAUUGUCCUCAUAGCCCUUGGCUCGACCUGUUCCUGUACAUCCAUCUCUCUCUCUACUGGAGAGCCCAACAUUGGACAUGGCACUGCAGAGGGGUCUCACCAGGGCUGUGCAGAAGGGAAGGAUCACCUCUUCCAGAAAACUUAGCUUCAUCAUAUCAAAUUAUACUGACUAGUCAUAAAAAGCAUCCAUAGAAAGUGGUGGCCUGGCAGAUGGAGAGGGGAAGUAAAGCCCUACAACAACUUGAGCUCUGCAAGUAGAGCUCUACAACAACAUAAGAAAAGCCAUUUUGGGUCAGGCCACUGAUCUGCCUGCCCUCCUACAGGAAAAAGGGCUUAAGAAACAGGGCUCCAAUUCCUGGAACAGCGUUUACUUUAAGGCGAAGAGAAAUUCAGGGGCUUUUUGAGCCAGUGGCUUUAUCCAGACCAUUGAUGAAGUUGUCGGAUGUGAUUUGAGUAGUUUUACAUUUUUAGUUUCUAACAGAGUGUAUUUCAUCAUAUGACAGUACACCAGGGAAAAACAUUGACUUUUGAUUAUUUUAUCCUUAUUGUCUGAUCUUUUUGUUGACUUUCCAGGAGUUCUUAUAUUAUGAAGCCUGGCAAAUGAUCAUCCUGUGCUCAACCCCCUCCAUGUUAUCCCUCAUUUGACAGAUUUCCCUUCUCUGGAAGUGUUCAAAGACAGGUUGGAUGGGGCUCUGAGCACCUGGUCUUGUGAAAGGUAUCCCUACCCACAUAAGGGAGGUUGGAACUAGAUGAUCUUUAAGGUCCUUUCCAACCCAAAACUCUAUGAUUCUCUACUCGGUAUCUUCCAGCACAUUUGCAUACUUCAACAUCUAUAGUGCCUUCUCAUUGUCCUGUAACCCUAAUAAUCCUCAUCACUCUCCUCCUCAUUCUAGUCCUGCUAUGAUCUAUUUAAAACAAGGUGACUAAGAACAUGUGAUCUUCAAAACAUGUGCACUGAAACAAUACAGUGACAUAAUGAGAACUCCUGUUUUGUGCUCAAAGUAAGAAAAAGUGUCCUAGCUACAUUUUUGAUCACUGCUCAGUUCUGGGCUGAUAUUUUCAGAAGGUUAUCCAAAGUGACUCAAAGAUCUGUUUCCUAAGGACAAAUAGCUAUGAGUUAUUUUUUCCCCCUACUUUGCUGUCACUGACAUUAAAUUUUCAUUCCCCAUUUGAUCACGCAGUUAUCUAGGAACACAAUACCUGCAUCUUUGAGCUCAGCAUUAAUAUUUAUUGCCCUUUUUUCUUUUGUCAACCUGCUGGACAGCCUUGGCUAGGUCUCUGGGGAAUGUACUGAAUGGUAAAGUCCAAUGUAUACUUGUGGCAGCCUACUGACAACUUCCUUCCACAGCAAAGGCUCUCCAUUAUUUCUGUCAUUUCCCACCUUCUAGCUUAAAACUGGCAUGACAUGACCUUUGUAUCUCCUAGAAAUCUGAAGUCAUUGUUACUCAAAAUUUUUUGACAAAAUCUUCCACCUGCACCACCCUUAUGCACAAAGCUUGUAUAAUCCUAUAGAGGUUUGCACCAAUCUGUAAUAUGUGACUUCCCUGGGAAUAAAUGCAUGUAGAAUUCUACCCAGCACAGCUGCUCUCACAGUUCCUCCUGAUCCUGCCAGGUAAAAACAUUAGUGUUGUUCUCUCUAGAUUUCAGGAUCACCCUGGAGCCUGUUUUUGAGGGUCUGAAGUUACCCCUGCCAUUGUCUGUUCCUCUGACACCAGAUGCAUCGCAGGUCACAAAUUAGCAGUUUCAUGCUGAGUCGCUGCAGAGCUGCUUGAUGGUUGCUGUUCUGCCUUCUUCUUACCUGUCAAUGUAUUGAUUUGUUUCAAAACCUUUUCAGUUUGAGAUUGUUCUUCAUCUGUCUCAAGGGGCUCCUUCACCUUUUCCUUAAUGAGCUGCAUUCAUCUAAGUUUUUUCUUAUUUUUGCUGAGUAAUCCUUCUACUUCUUGACUAUCUCACUUGAAGCUGCACUGAAUUUCUGGCAGACGAACAUGGUUUGGAUGUGCCUGAAAGUGUUUUUCAUUAGCAACUUGUCACUUGAAUAGGUAUUUAAUGCAUAUCAUUAAAGAUCUACUUUCCAACUGCCAGAUUUUUCUGGGUUUCCCCUUUGGACAUGACUUUUGUGCUUUCUCUGAGCUUUUUCCUUUUUUUCCUUUUCCUUUUCCUUUUCCUUUUCCUUUUCCUUUUCCUUUUCCUUUUCCUUUUCCUUUUCCUUUUCCUUUUCCUUUUCCUUUUCCUUUUCCUCUUUCUUGAAGGCUUUUCAGCAUGACAGUGGGCAGUUCUCAUUUUAAUAUGGUAUCAUGGUUUAACCUCAGCUGGUAACUAAGUGCCACACAGCCACUUGCUUGCUCCCUGCCCCCUCACCCCUGAUGGGAUGAGGAGAAGAAUCAGAUAAAGUAAAAGCCAGGGACUGAGAUAAGAAGAGUUUGAUAAUUUAGAUAAUGUAUAAAAUAUUACUAGUACUACUAAUAAUAAUUACAAUGAAAAAGGGAAGAUUACAAAAAGAAAAAGAGAGAGGAAUAAAACCCUGGAGAAAAAGUGAUGUGCAAUACAAUUUCUCGCCAGCUGACUGGUGCCCAGCCCAUCCCUGAGCUGAGCUCUGCCCCUGUAGGUCAACUCCCCCCAGUUUUAUCCUGAGAAUGAGGUUCUGUUGUGUGGAAUAUCCCUUUGGCAAGUUUCAUCAGCCGUCCUGGCUCUUCUCUGUCCCAGAUAUCUCCUCACUUACAGAGCAUGAAACACUGAAAAUCCUUGGCCCAGUGCAAGCACUACCCAGCAACAACCUAAACAUCAGUGUGUUAUCAACAUUAUUUUCAUCCUGAGUCCAAAACACUGCACUGUACCAGGUACUAGGGAGAAAAUGAACUCCAUUCCCACAUGAAACCAGGACAUAAAGUGUCUCAAAAAAUAUCUUUGUGUCUAAUCAACAUUUUCAUUUCUCUGGUUA
Molecule: long non-coding RNA, 3047 nt
Organism: Oenanthe melanoleuca
Lineage: Eukaryota; Metazoa; Chordata; Aves; Passeriformes; Muscicapidae
Exons: 2
Source: RefSeq, a predicted model, not a curated record